This is a long non-coding RNA of Eubalaena glacialis (North Atlantic right whale), 129 nucleotides long. RefSeq lists it as uncharacterized. The transcript has 3 exons. Lineage: Eukaryota; Metazoa; Chordata; Mammalia; Artiodactyla; Balaenidae. The record is from RefSeq and is a predicted model, not a curated record.
GAGAUUGUCAUGCACUGAUACUCUUGAAGAAUGAAUAAAUCCUAACUCUCAAAACCCUUCCUGUCUGAACACCGGAACCCAAUAGACUUGGGUUAUGCAUGUAAUGAGAGAAGACUUCUGCUUAUCCCC